UUUCCCAAGCCGGCCUUGCUGGGUGGAUUAGUGGCGAACGGGUGAGUAACACGUGAGUAACCUGCCCCUGACUCUGGGAUAAGCGUUGGAAACGACGUCUAAUACUGGAUAUGACGGCCGAUCGCAUGGUCUGGUCGUGGAAAGAUUUUUUGGUUGGGGAUGGACUCGCGGCCUAUCAGCUUGUUGGUGAGGUAAUGGCUCACCAAGGCGACGACGGGUAGCCGGCCUGAGAGGGUGACCGGCCACACUGGGACUGAGACACGGCCCAGACUCCUACGGGAGGCAGCAGUGGGGAAUAUUGCACAAUGGGCGAAAGCCUGAUGCAGCAACGCCGCGUGAGGGACGACGGCCUUCGGGUUGUAAACCUCUUUUAGUAGGGAAGAAGGGAGCUUGCUCUUGACGGUACCUGCAGAAAAAGCACCGGCUAACUACGUGCCAGCAGCCGCGGUAAUACGUAGGGUGCAAGCGUUGUCCGGAAUUAUUGGGCGUAAAGAGCUCGUAGGCGGUUUGUCGCGUCUGCUGUGAAAUCCCGAGGCUCAACCUCGGGCUUGCAGUGGGUACGGGCAGACUAGAGUGCGGUAGGGGAGAUUGGAAUUCCUGGUGUAGCGGUGGAAUGCGCAGAUAUCAGGAGGAACACCGAUGGCGAAGGCAGAUCUCUGGGCCGUUACUGACGCUGAGGAGCGAAAGCGUGGGGAGCGAACAGGAUUAGAUACCCUGGUAGUCCACGCCGUAAACGUUGGGCGCUAGAUGUAGGGACCUUUCCACGGUUUCUGUGUCGUAGCUAACGCAUUAAGCGCCCCGCCUGGGGAGUACGGCCGCAAGGCUAAAACUCAAAGGAAUUGACGGGGGCCCGCACAAGCGGCGGAGCAUGCGGAUUAAUUCGAUGCACGCGAAGAACCUUACCAGGCUUGACUUUACCGGAAACGGCCAGAAAUGGUCUCCCCCUUGGGUCCGGUACCAGGGGGGCAUGGUUGCCUCCAUUCCGGCCUGGAAAGUUGGGUUUAAUCCCCAAAGAGGCCACCCCUCUUUUUUGUUCCGGGGUUGGGCGGGAACCCUAAAAAACGGGGGGGACAACCGAAAAAGGGGGGAAAAGAAAAUACAGCCCCU
RNAcentral lists this ribosomal RNA (1107 nucleotides) under Curtobacterium sp. RNAcentral's name for it is "bacterial SSU rRNA". It matches the Rfam family "Bacterial small subunit ribosomal RNA", at positions 68 to 1201 of the family's 1533-position model. The record is from RNAcentral. Lineage: Bacteria; Bacillati; Actinomycetota; Actinomycetes; Micrococcales; Microbacteriaceae.